CCUACGGGUGGCAGCAGUGGGGAAUAUUGGGCAAUGGGCGCAAGCCUGACCCAGCAACGCCGCGUGAGGGAAGAAGGCUUUCGGUUUGUAAACUUCUAUCGUCAGGGAAGAGUAGAAGACGGUACCUGAAGAAUAAGCCACGGCUAACUACGUGCCCGCAGCCGCGGUAAUACGUAGGUGGCAAGCUUUGUCCGGAUUUACUGGGUGUAAAGGGCGUGUAGCCGGGUUGACAAGUCAGAUGUGAAAGCCUGGGGCUUAACCGCAGAACUGCAUUUGAAACUGUGGAUCUUGAGUACUGGAGAGGCAGAUGGAAUUCCUAGUGUAGCGGUGAAAUGCGUAGAUAUUAGGAGGAACACCAGUGGCGAAGGCGGUCUGCUGGACUGAAACUGACGGUGAGGCGCGAAAGCGUGGGGAGCAAACAGGAUUAGAUACCCGAGUAGUC
This 442-nucleotide ribosomal RNA is filed under the name uncultured bacterium. RNAcentral's name for it is "partial 16S ribosomal RNA". It matches the Rfam family "Bacterial small subunit ribosomal RNA", at positions 338 to 795 of the family's 1533-position model. The record is from RNAcentral.